Molecule: ribosomal RNA, 1548 nt
Filed under: Triticum aestivum (bread wheat)
Lineage: Eukaryota; Viridiplantae; Streptophyta; Magnoliopsida; Poales; Poaceae
Description: partial small subunit ribosomal RNA
Source: RNAcentral
AUGUCGACCACGGAGGCGCUCCUCCCCGCCUCCGGCAGCGGCGGCGGCGAGCGCCUGAGCAUCGACGACGCGCUGGCGCUGCACGCGGGGGAGUUCGGGCGGUGGCAGCUAUGGCACUUCCUGCUGGUGACGGCGGCGUGGGCGCUGGAGGCGAUGCACACCAUGGUGAUGAUCUUCGCCGACCGCGAGCCGGCCAUGUGGUGCCCCGCGGGGGACGGGCGGUGCGGCGACCGCUGCGCCGGCGCCGCGGCCGGGUGGGAGUGGGAGCACGGGAGCGGCUCGUCGACGGUGGCCGAGUGGGGCCUCGUCUGCGGCGAGCGCUACAAGGUCGGCCUCGUCCAGGCCGUCUUCUUCGCCGGCUGCAUGAUCGGCGCCGGCGUUUUUGGUCAUCUGUCAGACUCUUUUAUGGGUCGGAAGGGGACCCUACACGUGGUGUGCUUCCUCAAUGCCAUCUUCGGCCUCCUCACCGCUCUCUCCCCGAAUUAUUGGGUCUACAUGGCAUUGCGCCUUCUCACAGGAUUUAGCGCUGGAAGCGUUUGCCUUUGUGCCUUCGUCCUCGCCACGGAGCCGAUAGGCCCAUCCUAUCGUGGGGUCACCGGCAUGUCGACUUGCUACUUCUUCUCCGGAGGCAUCGCAGCCCUUGCCGGCAUAGCCGCAAUGUGCCAGUCAUCCUGGCGCUUGCUCUACGUCGUCACUUCCAUGCCAUCACUUGUCUUCGCGCUCGCCGUCAUGCCGUUCGUAUCUGAGUCCCCGCGUUGGUACCUCGUGCGGCGGCGCACCGACGACGCGAUGCGGAUUCUACGAAACAUUGCAUCUAGUAAUGGCAGAAGCAUCCCGGAUGGUGUCACGCUCAAGCUCGAUGAUGAAGAUGACCUAAACAAGAAGGUCGAGGAGUCGUCGUCGACGAUCUUGGAUGUGUUCCGAUCGCGGGCAACGCGGGGCAGGCUCGUGCUCUCGGUGAUCAUCAGCUUCCUUUGCUCCGCAGUGUACUUUGGGCUGAGCCUCAACGUGGUCAACCUAAAGCUUAACCUUUACAUCAGCGUGGUUGCUAACUGUCUCGCUGAGAUGCCCGGGUUCCUGCUUACUACAGUGCUCCUCCAACGUUUUGGCCGCAAACCACUCGCUAUUGGCUCGAUGAUUCUCAGCGGCAUUUUCUGCACAUCUGCCAGUCUUAUUGCCGGUGUCGGUGCCUUGAGGGUGGUGAGGAUGGCAUGCGGGAUGGUAGGAAUCUUUGGAAUGGCAGCGACAUACAGCCUGUUGGUCCUAUACACUGGAGAGUUGUUCCCAACAGCAGUACGUACCGCGGCGAUGGGAUGUACAGCACAGGCGUCGCAGAUGGGCGCCAUACUGGCGCCCUUGGUGGUGGUGCUUGGGGAGCAAGUGCCAUUCGCGGUGUUCGGCGUGUUUGGCAUCAUUGGUGGGCUGCUUGUGAUCUGCCUCCCAGAGACUAUGAACAAGCCCUUGUACGACACCAUGUUCGGGCUGGAGAAAGGGGAGAGGGCACCUACAAGUGAAGAAGAAGUUAUAUCGGGGAACUCCAAAAUUUGA